Molecule: small nucleolar RNA, 131 nt
Filed under: Meriones unguiculatus (Mongolian gerbil)
Lineage: Eukaryota; Metazoa; Chordata; Mammalia; Rodentia; Muridae
Description: Small nucleolar RNA SNORA17 (ENSMUGG00000006732.1)
Rfam family: Small nucleolar RNA SNORA17 (bases 24-131)
About the family: snoRNA ACA 17 belongs to the H/ACA family of snoRNAs and is predicted to guide pseudouridylation of the 28S rRNA at positions U4659 and U4598.
Source: RNAcentral
CCUGCUUCUCACGUAAAGACUCUUCUGUUCUUGGAUGUUAUGUCUCAUGUGUGUCAGUAGGUGGCAGAGAAGGGAGAAGCUAUGUCUAUGCUCUGACCUAUGGAUGUCUGAAUGAUUAGCAGCCUAACAUU